Molecule: ribosomal RNA, 1209 nt
Filed under: Triticum aestivum (bread wheat)
Lineage: Eukaryota; Viridiplantae; Streptophyta; Magnoliopsida; Poales; Poaceae
Description: partial small subunit ribosomal RNA
Source: RNAcentral
AUGGCGAACUACCCUGUCAAUGUCGUCCCGUACCUGCCGCAGGGCAUGACCGUCGAGCUUGGGCCUGAAGAUAGACUGGUCAGAGAUGAGAUGGUGGUCAGUCCGGUGCCGCCACUCCACCAUGACUUCUUGGCCAUUGCAGAGGUGAACCGCUUCGUCCCUUUCCAUCAGAAAGCUCUGCUUCGCCACACCAUCGAAGGUUUGCUCCAUGAGUCCAAUUUCUUCCCCACUGAAGUAGACGACUACCCGCUCGGGAUUGGCAUCUUUGGUUUCAUGGAUUCUGUAGUUAGAGAUACUGUGGUGGGCACUACAUUUGAGCUAGAUGAGGAUGAUGAUAACCAAGGCACCGUUGUUUCCUUUGUUCCUCACGAUGCUGCUAUCAAUAUGCGCCAAACUAGCUUUGGGCCUCAAGUAUGGCUGCUUUAUAUUGGAUUGCCUCAUGAUUAUCAAACCUCUCAUUACAUCCAUAAGUCUGUGGACAAAUUUGGGGAACUUAUCACUUGGAAUAAUCCUAGAGGGGACAGGAAGUUUGUUCUGAUCAAGGCCAGAGUUCUUAGUUUGCGUUGGGUGCCCAAAAGCUUCGUUAUGCAUCAGUUAGGUGGUGAGCGCUGUUGCUGGACGGUAUGUGUCACGAUCCUGCGCAGUAGCGAUUGGAAUGCGCAUAUCCCGGAUGUGCCACCGGCGGACAUGGAUCCACCUCCUGCUGAUGGGAUCCCCCACCCCUUGUUCGGUGAAGGUCUCACCACGGAGCAGAUGUACCAAGCACAGCUGCAUAAUUGGCUUGCUCAGAAUGCCGCGCCAAACACUCCUGAUGCUGCUCCACAACACAAUGCUCGUCAAGGCCACGAUGUUCAUUUCCAAGCGGGUUGGGUUGCAUGGCCACCUUCGCCCCACCUGCUCUGUAUAACUUUCAGGCAUUGCCGACAGCAGAAGGCCUGCAGGUUCAGGAUGGGAUAUUACCUGCAAACAAUCUUCAGGACAGCCCAGGUACAGCUUGGAAUGACUCUUUCUCUGCAUAUGACAGUUCAGACUCCAGUGCAACAAUCUCGGACAGUUAUAUCAUGGUUCCCAGCAACAUCUUCAACGCUCUCACUAUGGGGGACAGUUCUGCCGUGCCUGGAAGCAAUGCUACCCCUAGUCCGGCCCCUCAGCAAAAUGCCCUGGACAUUCAAAUCUCCCUUUCUGCUGCUGGAUUACAGCUUGCUAUGA